RNAcentral lists this ribosomal RNA (499 nucleotides) under uncultured bacterium. Its description in RNAcentral is "partial 16S ribosomal RNA". It matches the Rfam family "Bacterial small subunit ribosomal RNA", at positions 28 to 507 of the family's 1533-position model. The record is from RNAcentral.
GACGAACGCUGGCGGCGUGCUUAACACAUGCAAGUCGAACGGGCCUGUCUUCUUUUUUGGGGGUGGGUUGAGUGGCGAACGGGUGAGUAUCACGUGAGUAACCUGCCCUUCGGUCCUGGAUAACCGCUUGAAAGGGCGGCUAAUACGGGGUGGUCCUGUUGGUCCGCAUGGGCUGGUCGGGAUAGAUUCACUGUUUUUGGUGUUUCGGCGGGGGAUGGGCUCGCGGCCUAUCAGCUUGUUGGUGGGGUGAUGGCCUACCAAGGCGGUGACGGGUAGCCGGGCUGGGAGGGUGGGCGGCCACACUGGGACUGAGAUACGGCCCAGACUCCUGCGGGAGGCAGCAGUGGGGGGUAUUGCACAAUGGGCGGAAGCCUGAUGCAGCGACGUCGCGUGAGGGAUGGAGGCCUUCGGGUUGUGAACCUCUGUUUCCGGUGGUGAAGGCCCUGUCCGUGUGGUGGGGUUGACGGUAGCCGGGGAUGAAGCGCCGGCUAACUACGUG